UCCGUAGGUGAACCUGCGGAAGGAUCAUUAAUGGAUUGUAAUGGGGGUUGAUGCUGGUGGCCAUUUCUUUGGCUGCAUUGUGCUCACUUCUAGCAAUUAUUUGUCCAAACACUUGUGCACCUUUCGAGGGUUUUCCAAUCUUGGAUUUCCCUCUCACAUACACUCAUUUAUAAUAUUGAACGUGUUUGUGCCAUGCAGUGGCCAUAAUAUAUAAUACAACUUUUAACAACGGAUCUCUUGGCUCUCGCAUCGAUGAAGAACGCAGCGAAAUGCGAUAAGUAAUGUGAAUUGCAGAAUUCAGUGAAUCAUCGAAUCUUUGAACGCACCUUGCGCUCCCCGGUAUUCCAGGGAGCACACCUGUUCGAGUGUCGUGAAAUUCUCAAGCUGGAUGAUUUUUUCAUCUCAGUUUGGUUUUGGGCUUUGCCGUGACCCCCUUCAUUGGGACGGCUGGCCUUAAAAAUAUUAGCUGACUCUCAUGUGAGAUUGGUUCUACUCAGCGUGAUAGCUCUGACCGCUGAGGACAUCUUUUAUUGGAUGGCCGAGCUCUAUGUUGGGUUGCUUCUAAUCCUGGUUUUUACAGAUUUUCGGAUCUGUUUUCCACUCACGAUUUUGGCCUCGAAUCAGGUGGGACUACCCACUGAACUUAAGCAUAUCAAUAAGCGGAGGA
This 667-nucleotide ribosomal RNA is filed under the name uncultured Clavulina. RNAcentral describes it as "eukaryotic LSU rRNA". The stretch from base 218 to 371 matches the Rfam family "5.8S ribosomal RNA". The record is from RNAcentral. Lineage: Eukaryota; Fungi; Basidiomycota; Agaricomycetes; Cantharellales; Hydnaceae.